Long non-coding RNA from Homo sapiens (human), 921 nucleotides. Ensembl annotates it as CALML3 antisense RNA 1. Its record names the gene CALML3-AS1. Lineage: Eukaryota; Metazoa; Chordata; Mammalia; Primates; Hominidae. The record is from Ensembl.
CCCCGUCAGCACCGCUUACUGCAGGCCAAGAUGCCUCCCACCCUCCAGAAUCCGACCGCGGAGGGAGCUUCCAGUCCAGGAGCCUGCGGGAAUCCUGGCGGGGGCUGAGGGCUGCAGCCCCCCUGGCCUGGGCAUUGGGUGCCUCUUAGGGAUCUUGCCUGGGUGCCCUAAGGGGUCACCCGGUGUCCGUCCUGGAGGGCCGCAGAGUCAGCGCAACCUGCCCUGGUGCUCGGUCCUAAGGGGCUGGAGAGACUUCUUCAUGAAGGAAUACAGGGACAGUCACAGGAGACAGGAGCACCAAGGGAUUCGGACAUGUGGCUGACACAGUCUUCUGGAGAGCCCCGGAUGGCAUCAGGGGGAAACCUGGCCUGAGACAGUGCCCUGAUGGACAAGGACAGGAAUACGGUCAUACCUCCUGCCCACUUGACCAACGACCAGGAUGAGAAGCCAACAGAUGAUGAAUAUGAAUUAAAGUUGGACAACUAGCAAGUUUAAAACUUGGACUGGGACCUAGAUCUUCCGAUUCCUACAGCUAGCCUCCCUUUCCAUCUUCUCUGUGGUCAUCACUAAUGCAGUUUUUGACCGUCUUGUCCAGAAGCUGCAAAACAGACAACAGAAGCCAGGACUGGCCCUGCCUUAGAUGGCUUUCAGUGCAGGAAAGUAUCAAGACAGUCUUGUUCGUAGCGUAUAUCUCUCUCCACCUUUUCUGCUAAGCACCUCAUGUAUGCAGCUGCCAAUGUAACACCUCCAUUUGCGUGUUUAAUCACCAUCUCAAGCUAAUGUAACCAAGCAGACUUCUUGGCCUUCAUCCCUGCCUCCUCUAGUCUUCUCAUCUCUCUCUCUCUCUCUCUCUUUUUGAGACAGAAUUUGGCUCUGUUGCCCAGGCUGGAGUGCAGUGGCACCAUCUUGGCUCACUGCAAC